UCCUUAGUAGCUCAGUGGUAGAUCGGUUGACUGUUAACUGAUUGGUCGUAGUUUCGACUCUGACUUGGGAAA
Non-coding RNA from Ilex paraguariensis (yerba mate), 72 nucleotides. NCBI's taxonomy places the organism in Eukaryota, Viridiplantae, Streptophyta, Magnoliopsida, Aquifoliales, Aquifoliaceae. The record is from the annotation of a GenBank genome assembly.